AUUGAACGCUGGCGGCAGGCCUAACACAUGCAAGUCGAACGAGUGGCGGAUGGGUGAGUACUGUCUGUGAAACUGCCCGAUGGAGGGGGAUAACUACUGGAAACGGUAGCUACUACCGCAUACCAUUGGAUGUGCCCAGGUGGGGUUAGCUAGUAGGUGGGGUAACGGCCCACCGAGGCGACGAUCCCUAGUUGGUUUGAGAGGAUGACCAGCCACAAUGGAACUGAGAAACGGUCCAGAAUCCGACGGGAGGCAGCAGUGGGGAAUAUUGCAAAAUGGGCGAAAGCCUGAUGCAGCCAUGCCGCGUGUAUGAAGAAGGCCGUCGGGUUGUAAAGUACUUUCAGCGAGGAGGCGUUACUCGCAGAAGAAGCACCGGCUAACUCCGUGCCAGCCGCCGCGGUAAUAC
RNAcentral lists this ribosomal RNA (406 nucleotides) under uncultured bacterium. RNAcentral describes it as "partial 16S ribosomal RNA". It matches the Rfam family "Bacterial small subunit ribosomal RNA", at positions 30 to 526 of the family's 1533-position model. The record is from RNAcentral.